Pistacia vera is the source of this 221-nucleotide long non-coding RNA. RefSeq lists it as uncharacterized. The transcript has 3 exons. Lineage: Eukaryota; Viridiplantae; Streptophyta; Magnoliopsida; Sapindales; Anacardiaceae. The record is from RefSeq and is a predicted model, not a curated record.
AAUGAAAUUAAACAACAUCCUUUCUCCCGUGGAAUCAACUGGCCUUUGAUUCGCACCAUGAGCCCGCCUCCACUAGAUGCACCUCCUGAGUUAAUUGAAAAAGAUUUGAAAGCCAAAGAUGUCAAGUGGGAAGAUGAUGGAGUGCUUGUUAAUCCUGUAGAUUUGGACCUUUUCUAAAGAAAUGGGAUAUAGACAAUCAAGGUGAGAUGGAAGAGGUUCUG